CUAUAUUACAGAAGGCCUAAUUGAAGUUUUGCCUCAAGCAUAACAGGAAUUUUUUUUAAUAAUCCUUAAAAAAAUUCUAAUUGGUCAAAUUUUAUUUGAUCAAUUAAUUCUCUUCUUACCAACUCAAUGUCAUAUUGGACAAAUAUAAGAAAGACAAUAAAUUGUUCACCGUUUUAGGAAAGCGGUAAAUCAUUUCCUGUUUUUAGAUUGUUAUCGUUGUUUACAAAUAAUUUUUGGCCACACUACAGAAAAACCCUUGUAAAUACCUAUUUUUUCACUUUCCCUCCCUUACUUUGAAAAAUCUACAUUUUACUCCCUUAAAAUUUUAGAAAUAUUUUUAGGGGAGUUUAGCGUUAUUGGAGAGGGAAAAAUAACUGAAUUACACUUACUUCUUUUAUAAGAAAAAAAAAAUUUUUUUUAAUAUAUUUUUGUUAUUUUGAAAGGUAUUUUCGGUAUAAAUUAUAAGAAAUUGGGAGAAUAGUAAUGGAACCAUGACGGAGGGGGUUAAAUACAACAACUUGAAAUGCUGAGGGGUAAAAUAUAGGUUUUUGAAAGUUAGGGAGGGAAAGUGAAAAAGUAGGUACUUAUAAGGGAGUUUUUUUUUGUAAUUUAGCCAUAAUAUUAAUUUUGUAUGGGUUGUGAGUAUUUUUUAAUGAUUCACCGUCUUUUAAAUUUUAUUAAAGACGGUGAAUGAUUCAUCAUUUUCUAAUUAUUUUUCUCCUCAGCAUUGAGAUUUGUGCACUUAGCCGAUAUCUUAUUUUUUUUUUUUUUUUGAGGGAAAACACGCUCUAAGGCGAAUUUAUUUAUCAAUCGGGAGGUACAACUUGAGAGAAUUCAUCUACAGAGGACCAAAAAGACAAUUUGUUGCUAGUGAGCCCCC
Molecule: long non-coding RNA, 880 nt
Filed under: Ananas comosus (pineapple)
Lineage: Eukaryota; Viridiplantae; Streptophyta; Magnoliopsida; Poales; Bromeliaceae
Description: long non-coding RNA (ACOM_LNC043695)
Source: RNAcentral